UCGUUUCUAUUUUACAUUUAUAUACUAUAAUUUACAAUAACAAAGGCAGGUUUUAGGAGAACUUGUAGACAGGACUUAUCUAGUUCUGAUUACCCCUAUAUUUUACGAUCGAUCAAGUGAAAUUUCUCCGAAGGAAAGGUAAUUCUCGAGAAUCGCUCUCAUCACGUAAGCAUCGAAAUUAGUAAGACUACUUAUUAUUUUAUUCUCACGUAUAAUCUCAUACGAUUAAUUGUUGAUUAUUGUCUAUUCUACAGCAUGCAAGAAUAUAAGGAUUGUUAUUCGGCAAACUUUCGCGAGGUUUGUUUUCGAACUUUCCUGACGGUUUUGUUGACACUAUUUCGAGAUCCCUACAAUAAAUCGCAAUACACUUGGCGAUUCCACGCGGUGGUCUAAAAAUAAUAGUCGAUAGAAGCGAUGAAAGUCGAAUUGAUAAUAUAGUUGACAGCGUUAUCGUAGAAUUUUGGAACAGCGAAAAACUAUCUCGAACUAUCGUUACAAUAUAUAUGUGUGUAUGUAUAUCUGUAUAUAUUAAUUCGGUUUAUUGAAUUGAGGCCACACGUUCUUCGAGGAGGCGGCCUUGGCCUGCUCCUUCAAGAUUCUCGCUUGCUCCUGUAUUUCUUGUUUCUGUUUCACGAAGGAAAAGUCUAUGAAAAUGCUGGAAAAUAAAUAAACCGCACGCUACACGGCGAAUUAGACGUUUUCUUUAUAUUUUCAAGUGAAAUCUUUUCUCGAUACUUACGGUAUAGCGGACGCCUGGCAUUUAAUAGUGUCAGCGAUAUUCUGUUCGGAGUAGAGGCCAAUCGGUGAAUUGAACUGCUUGUGGACUACCUACGGAAUCAAAUGAAACGAAACGAUGAGAGGAAAGGUUGCAAAUCGAUUGCAAAUUAAUCACAAUGGAGCUGGGGCUCCAAAGAUUCGUUACGCAUUCUUAAGUUACGCCACUGUGUCUUAAGUUAAUUCUUAACUCCUCUGAAGUAAGUCAUAAAUUUACUGUUAGACGCAUUUAAAGUAUUCGUCGUCCUUCGGAACGUUGCAGUCUCAUCAGAUAAUUUUGUAUAAAUAAACAGAAGUACAUACGCCCUUUAUUAAAAACCGAUCGUCUAAUCGUUGACGGGCGGGUUAAUCAUUAGCAAAAUAUCGAUAGCAUGCUAUAUUAUCGUCGGCACUCGCAACCAUAGACAUUUCGAUGCGGAAGCGUCGUUUGUGGAAGCGGAAGCGAUUCAUGAAUAAAGUGGUCCAAACCUUUGGAACUUCAUUCGGUCCCAAGACACGUUGAAGUACCGAUUCCGCCACCUAGUCGGACAUUUUAUGAAACACAUAUAUAUUUACAAGUUAAGUAUUCUUAAUUCUCUCAGUCUUUCAUUCUGUAAUUCUUUUAUAUUCUUAAGAGAUUAAAACCAACAUUUUCGCGACAAGACAAGCUAUUCCUCUUUGUGAAAAUGUAAAAGUUUGCUCGUAGAAUAUGACUUUAUUAUUUUUCUUCAGUUUAGUGGUCUUAAUAUUCGUUAA
Hylaeus anthracinus is the source of this 1509-nucleotide long non-coding RNA. RefSeq lists it as uncharacterized. The record is from RefSeq and is a predicted model, not a curated record. NCBI's taxonomy places the organism in Eukaryota, Metazoa, Arthropoda, Insecta, Hymenoptera, Colletidae. The transcript is spliced from 4 exons.